UGAGUAACCUGCCCCAAACUCUGGGAUAAGCACUGGAAACGGUGUCUAAUACCGGAUACGAGCUUCAGCCGCAUGGCUAGGAGUUGGAAAGAAUUUCGGUUUGGGAUGGACUCGCGGCCUAUCAGCUAGUUGGUGAGGUAAUGGCCCACCAAGGCGACGACGGGUAGCCGGCCUGAGAGGGUGACCGGCCACACUGGGACUGAGACACGGCCCAGACUCCUACGGGAGGCAG
This 232-nucleotide ribosomal RNA is filed under the name uncultured bacterium. RNAcentral describes it as "partial 16S ribosomal RNA". It matches the Rfam family "Bacterial small subunit ribosomal RNA", at positions 118 to 351 of the family's 1533-position model. The record is from RNAcentral.